CCUGUCUUGCUUGUGAUUGGCGCAUAAUAAGACAUGGCCGCCUUCUUCCGGUGUUUCUUUACCUUCGGCAAGGUGUUUCUUGAGCCGUGAAGUUCGUUGGUCAAAUGAAUUCUAUGCAUAUUCGAAUCGUCGAGCCUAAAUCGAUUCGGAUUGCUGAUGUUUUUUGCUUUCCUCCAACUUCUUCCUAGCCUGGUCCAUUCGUAAUUGUGCUUGGAGUCUCUUCUUUUCCGUAAUCUUCUUCACCAGAGGGAUUUGAAGGGGUGCCAAGCCAAGACGGUUCAAGAUAGCUGCGUUACUGGUAUGGACGGUCUCGAAGGACGGUGGAGCAUCCUCGGCGCCAAUCGCAAGAAUGCCAGUGGAAAUGAUCAAGAGACUACCACUCAGAAGAUGUAAUCUGAAAUAAAAAAUAAUCGUCAGUUCAACUGAUCGAUUUCACAGAACGUUGACUCGAUUUAUGGACGUUCCUGUCGCACUGUCGUACGUCGUUAUUUCGUUCGGGUAACCAAUUAGAAGGGGUGCCUUGGGGGUGAGGAAUAUCUUGCGAGUUCGAAGACACCGACAUUAUCGUUGUAGAUUGGCGAGGCAGGAAAAUGGAUAGAAAUCUAGAAGGAGAGAAGAGGAGGACAAAGAGUUAUGUCGUCUUAAGGAACGAUCCAUCACGGCUGCCACGUCGUAAAGUCCAAAAGAAGAAGAACAAGGAGUCCAAGCACGACCCUGACCGAUGCUACUCGAAGAAACGAUUGGAGUAAGAACAACGAGAGAAUGAGAGAGAUGGAUAGAAGCUUUAAACCACCUGCCAUACCAUAAAUACGGUUCCCGUAUCCAAGAAAAGAGACAAAGCAAAAUUUUACUUAGACGUUGACCGUGAAAGUGACGAGUUUUCUAAUGAGCCGUCUCGACAAUUUUACAAUCAAAUCGAACAUUUGAUUCUUUCUCGGAAAUCGAAUCUGAUUAUUUGAAAGGUCUAAGAAGCCGAUGAAUUAAAUAGAUUUGUUAUACGAUUUAGACGUAACGACAGAGUCAUUACCUGUUAAACGAUGAAGUAUAGUAUGUACUCAUGAUAAACGUUUUUUGAUCAUUAAAGGGUCUAUUACAGAGGUUAAAUCGUUUCGUGUUGCCUAGUGCUAUUCAUCUAUGUUAUCAAGACCGUUGUUAGAUAUAAAAUGAACACGAAACUUUCGUAUCUCGAAGAUAGGUACUAUACUCAUUUCUUCGUAAUAUUCUACCAGUGUAAAACAACUCAACAUGCGUUCGUACGGAUGAUAAA
This is a long non-coding RNA of Vespula vulgaris, 1267 nucleotides long. RefSeq lists it as uncharacterized. Lineage: Eukaryota; Metazoa; Arthropoda; Insecta; Hymenoptera; Vespidae. The record is from RefSeq and is a predicted model, not a curated record. The transcript is spliced from 4 exons.